Frieseomelitta varia is the source of this 690-nucleotide long non-coding RNA. RefSeq lists it as uncharacterized. NCBI's taxonomy places the organism in Eukaryota, Metazoa, Arthropoda, Insecta, Hymenoptera, Apidae. The transcript is spliced from 3 exons. The record is from RefSeq and is a predicted model, not a curated record.
ACUGCCACCGAACAAGUAUUGACAGAAUUAGAACGGUUUUUGCGUAGGAUUGGGUGUUGCGUUACUUUCAACAAAUAGCAUAAACAGAUACAGGAUGGUAGUCCACGAACAACCACGUAACCACCUUUUACAAAAAUAGUGGGACAAAUUUGAACUUGAUAGAUAAACUAAACCGCCUGAGAAGUUGUCUGAGAAUAUUCAGAAUUUGGUAAAGUUCUGCGUUGCAUCACGUUGCAAAUGUUUGCAAACGUUUAGAAAUAGACGUCAACUUUAACGUACGAGGUAACGUUAGAAACAGUCUUGUUUUUCCAAAUCCUCUGGUAAAACCUCUGGAUGAUCUAUGCAUCGCUGAGCAAAUAAACAAACAUAGUUUCCUCGCAUAGUUUACGUUGAACGUUCUCACGAAUACUGAAGGAAAUUUGCGCCUUUCGUUCAGCGAGGUUUCUUCCUUUCUCGGAACAAAAACAUAUCUCUCGGAGGAUCGAGCAGAACGUAUUUACUUACUAUCGUGUUCUCUGAUUCUCUGCCACUCUCCGGGCACUUGGUCAGCAAUUUAUCGUGGCACUUCUUGUGCACCGCCGUUUGGCAGGCUGAAACGCAGGAGUGGAAUAUUAAUAGAGUUUCCCGCCUCGUGACGCUCGAAUUCUACAGCGCUCGGCCGCGUAAUGCCAGAAGAAUUCUCGUCCAACG